CCCGGCCCAGCGCGGCGCCGUGCUGCGCAUGCUCGCGGCGCGCGACGGGCUCGUGCUGCGGGGCCAGGGCUUCGACCGCCUCGGCCGGGCC
This 91-nucleotide transfer RNA is filed under the name Dactylosporangium vinaceum subsp. matsuzakiense. RNAcentral's name for it is "Dactylosporangium matsuzakiense tRNA-Ala". Lineage: Bacteria; Bacillati; Actinomycetota; Actinomycetes; Micromonosporales; Micromonosporaceae. The record is from RNAcentral.